Long non-coding RNA from Dermochelys coriacea (leatherback sea turtle), 1287 nucleotides. RefSeq lists it as uncharacterized. The transcript has 3 exons. Lineage: Eukaryota; Metazoa; Chordata; Testudines; Dermochelyidae. The record is from RefSeq and is a predicted model, not a curated record.
GCUGACCUUUAAUGGUCAGAUGCUGCUUAGCACUGUCAGAACAGCUUUUUUCUCCCAGCACUUUCCAAUAGUGGGAAAGUAGGAAAUCCCCAUUUGACUGCUGGGGACAGAGCCAUAGAGUGGGGAGCAACUUGCCCAAAGUCCCACAGGUCAAUAGGAAAACCAACAAUGGAACCCAGGAGUCCUGACUCCCAAUCCCCUGGUCCAGUCACUACAGCAGACCACAUUCCCCCUCAAAGGCAGGGGGACCGGACAUGAGGGCCUGGUUGUAAUUGCCAGCUGUGGAAGGGAGUGUGCAGCAGUGGUUAGUGAAGGGACCUGGAAAUAAGGACUGCUGGGUCCCAUCCAUGGCUCUGACACUUGGUGUGACCCUGAGCCAGUAGCUUCCCCUCCCCAGGCCUGUUUCUCAUCAGUAGGGUUGGGGUCGCAGUCUCUACAGCCCAAGGGAGUUGGGAGGCUCCAGGAAGGUGUGUAAAGUGCCGGGAUGUCAGGAGCUGGGAGGCACUGUCACCCCCACACUAGGGCAGUGUUCUGCACCCCCUGCUGCUGGCUGAGUUUCUCUGUCCCUUGGCAAUAAGACAGACUCUUCUUUUCACAGCCAGUCGAUCGCCCAGUGUCAUCACCCUGCCUGCUGGGUAGGGAAACUCCUCAGGUCACCACCCUCUCCAGCCUGCCUUGGGCUUGGAGAGCGAGGAGGAGGGCGAGCGACAGCAGGCGACCCUGAACAUCCGCCAUCCAUCGCUCCAUCACCUAGAACAAGUGGCCCCAGAGCCUGAGGGAAGCAGCUGCCAUCUUCCCCAGGAGUAGAGCAGCCCCCCCUCCCCGCUGGCGGGGAAGGAGCUCCCGGCUGGGCGAGGAGGUGGAAGUGCCCAGCUUUCUGGCAGAGGAAACCUGCUCCCGGUGCAGGCGCCAAGGUGGGAGAGCCACCGGCCAGGCCGAAAUGGAGCUGGCCCAGGGUGUGGCUGGGCAGGCAGGACCCAGCCCAGGAGGGGAGCCAGGCAGGGUGGCUCUGGGGCUUGUUGUGUGGGAAGCACCGGCCCCAGGAGCCCAGCCCUGAUUCCCAGCAGGAGGCUUCGCCCUGCCCGCUCACUGAGGACCUUCCAGCCUCCCCAGGGCAGGAGGUGGAGGAUCCCUGUCCCAUCACCAGCAGCUCGGCCUGCUCCCCGUGGGACAGCAGCAGCGCCUAUGACUCGGGCAGCAGCGAGGCCGAUGGGCGCCACUCUUUGUUCCAGGGACCCCCAGGGACUCGGAAGAUAAGGAGGAGGAAUGUGUGGAUGUGGCCACAGA